UGGGAGUCUGCAGCACUGAGAGAAUUGCUGUAAUUGCAGGCAGUUGGCAGAGAAAUCAGGCGCCUGCCUCUAGUCCCUUAGGCUGCGUUCCCGGGGGACCCCCAGUUUAGAGACCCUCCCACUGAGACUUGGCUCCCUGAGCUGAUCCUCCCGUGUGGAUGUUGACCACAGCUUGUUUGCAUAUGGCUUGAAUUUUGGUUAGGGGCUUUCUGAUUGCAGCCUGAUUUGUCAUUUAAAAUAUUAUGCACAGAAAUUAGGAUGCACAUGGAAUUUUGAUUCCAGCCGUUCUUUGUGCUUGGAGAGACAAGGCUUCUCCCAGGGAAGUCUGUAGAAUAUGCUGUGCAAGGGAACCUCUGCAACUUUCCAGGAGUUUCAGUUACUCAGGGAGUCAUGGCAACCAGGUCUCAAUGUCAGCAGUCUAGGUUCUGGUCCUGGUUCUGCCACCGAUGUCAGUGGAACUUAGGGCAAGUCUGAUCAUCGAGUUGAGUGUCACUUUCAUUCUCUAUGAGAUGGAGAUAAUAAAAAGCAGCAUCGGAGAGAUGUUGUGGGGACCAAAUGAAAUACUGAAGGCAAAUGUUUAUCACCGUGUCUGGCAAAUAAUACACAGUAGCUUCUAUUAAUAAUUACAAAGGGCUUAGCAAAUAGUAGGUAUUGCAUCAGUGGUUCCUAUUGUUGUCAUUAUUAUUAAAACACAUAUCUGACCAUGUGCACUUCAUGUUUUGAGAUCCUUUGUUAAUCCUCAUGCCUUUAGAACUGUUUUUCAAAUUGUACUGCUUGGUGCCCUGGGAGUUCUGAGGCUGAAGACCUCUCUGUUUGAUGUUCAGGUAACUAAGGCUGAGAGUGAUAAACCAUCCAAGGUCACACAGAUAUGAAAUUACAGACCCUGGAGUCCAACCCAGUUCCUGCCACAUUUCUACCCAAUGUACCUCAUGAUCCAGGCGCACUGGACUUCUCUCUCUUCCUAAAAUUCUAUAUUUAUACUGCUUUGUACAAAUUCUUGCUGCCUGGAAACCUCUUUCCAUUUAUUUGUCUGUCUAAAGUACAUCUUUGUCUGAAAAACCUUCCCGGGCCU
Molecule: long non-coding RNA, 1072 nt
Filed under: Homo sapiens (human)
Lineage: Eukaryota; Metazoa; Chordata; Mammalia; Primates; Hominidae
Description: non-protein coding lnc-RRAGC-1:1
Source: RNAcentral